GCUCCGCAUACUUUGUGGAGCACAGAAGCUUGACAAUGAGGGGAGACAACAGAUAAAAUCCCUAAAAGACUGAAGAUGAUAGAUUCUGACUGCAUUGAGUGCCCUUUGUUGUCAGCAGAUGCUAAUUCCCAGUGCCCAGGAUUUGAUACUAUGUUAGCUAUUGUUGAAGCAGCCAAUUCCUUAAAUUCUAGUGAAUCAUUCUGAUUUUCAAAAAGAAUGUCUGUAAGAGCUGGAAGUACAGAAGACUCAACAAGAAUGGUUGCAUUAUCAUCCAAACUUGACAGGUUAUACAACGCUUGCAAACUAGGUGCCCUUCCUUCAGGCUUAGACAGUAAUUCAACUAGUAUUUUAGCACUUUGCUGUGCUAUCUGUUCUUUACUGCCAU
Molecule: unclassified non-coding RNA, 385 nt
Filed under: Hevea brasiliensis (rubber tree)
Lineage: Eukaryota; Viridiplantae; Streptophyta; Magnoliopsida; Malpighiales; Euphorbiaceae
Source: RNAcentral